GCCGGGUGUGGUGGUGCAUACCUGUAAUCCCAGCAGCUAGGGAGGCUGAGGCAGGAGGAUUUCAAGUUCAAGGCCAGCCUCAGCAAGGCCCUAAGCACUCAGCUAAACUCUGCCUCUA
This 118-nucleotide small RNA is filed under the name Marmota monax (woodchuck). Lineage: Eukaryota; Metazoa; Chordata; Mammalia; Rodentia; Sciuridae. The record is from RNAcentral.